RNAcentral lists this ribosomal RNA (211 nucleotides) under uncultured bacterium. RNAcentral's name for it is "partial 16S ribosomal RNA". It matches the Rfam family "Bacterial small subunit ribosomal RNA", at positions 1290 to 1500 of the family's 1533-position model. The record is from RNAcentral.
AGUUCGGAUUAUAGUCUGCAACUCGACUACAUGAAGCUGGAAUCGCUAGUAAUCGCGAAUCAGAAUGUCGCGGUGAAUACGUUCCCGGGUCUUGUACACACCGCCCGUCACACCAUGGGAGUUGGGGAUGCCCGAAGCCGGUGACCUAACCGAAAGGGAGGAGCCGUCGAAGGCAGGCUUGAUAACUGGGGUGAAGUCGUAACAAGGUACC